CUGUAAAAAAUGAUUUUGGAGGGUGGUAUAUAUAACCCAUUCAUAUUGUUUAAAAAAUACCCAAAUGUAUUAGUCAGCUAGAAAAAUAAAUUACAAUGGGUAAAUUCUACCUACACUACCCAUUUUUUAACAGUGACAACUGCUACCUAAAAAUAUAUAGUAACAUACUUAAAAACUAUUGGUCCCUCACGCACUUGUCGAGGGUUUUGAGUGCUGCUGCUCGUCUGUUGUUGAGCUGCUGUUUUGAAGGUUAAAGAGGAGUUCCAGCACAGCUUGACUGGUACACACCACAUCUUUUACAGCUGUUGCGUGCCAAAGGAGGAGCUGCUGGUGCUAGGAUGCAUCCACUCCUUAAAACUGUAAAUGAGGUGUGUACGGUUUUGUUUGUUUUUUUAUUUAUUUUAUUUUUUUUCUUCAUUUACUUUUUUAGUAUUGAGGAAUUCAGUUGUCUGUUGCCUCAUGAGUACCCUGGGGAACACCAAGAAGACCUCUUCCAAGACUGUCAGGUAUGUUAGUGAUCAACCUAAAGGAAAACUCUGGUGUAAAAUUUAAAGUACUUACCUUUGAUAAAUAGCCCACCUCCAUUCUCCCACAGCUUUCUGAGAUCCAGCAAUGUUGUACUGUUUGUCCAAGCAGACUUUACAAUGGGUGAAACGGGGCAUACUCUUGCCCAUGCAGAUAAAUCGCUUUUUACAUCGUUAUCCAGACUCUCUGGAUUCUACCUUCUACUUUGAGCCUGGAUAACUGUGUAAAAAGCGAUUUCAUUCUGUUUCACCCAUUGUAAAGUGUGCUUGGAUAAACAGUACAAAAUUGCUGGAUCUCAGAAAGCUGUGGGAGAACUGAGGUGGGCUAUUCAUCAAAGGUAAAUACUUUUUAUCAUGUUUUACUACAGCUAAAGUCAUUUUUACACCAGAGAUCUCCUUUAAGGUAUACACAGGGUUGCCCUAAUAUCAUUUUCAUUCUUGAUGCUCAUCACAGAACUGUGUUUCAGGCAGUUGGUUUACCCAACCUUCAGUGUAUUACUGUACACAUUGCGUGCCUUUUAAAUAUUGGUUUGUUCUUUAUAAUAUUGUUUUAAACACACUUGGGUUACAUUACAUUAGGUGCGUUAAACUAUACAGAUAGGCCAUGAUUAUUGAAAUCUGAAUGGUUCACCCUUGUAUACAGGUGGUCUAGUAGCAGAUCUGUUAUGAGUUUAAGUGACACAUUUUUGUUUCUUUCUGAUGUUCUGGGUUUGUCAUUAGAUUGUAAAUGCUAUAUUGUUAAUAUGAUAAUCAAUUGUAUAUUCCUUUUUUCUUAUUCUUUUGCCAUGGAGGACGGACGUGAAGACCACAAAGAUCAAACCAUGAAGGUGCUCGUGAUCCAUAAUGUCAUCGCUGAAGAUGACCCAGUAGAUGAGUCUGUUGUCAUAGAGGACAUCCAAGUGCUGAAAGGGUGUGUAAACAAGACCAAGGCAUGUAUGCUGUUGGCUUGAUCUACGCCCUCAACCUUCAAGAAGCUCAAGUACACUUGCAAAGUUUUCCAGAAAAUUGUUGUGGAGCUUCCUGGAGCAAAACUGCCCAAGUAGGUCCACAGCCUCAGAAGGAACGAAUGGAAUGAACUGUUUUACCCACAUUGAGUCACAAACUUUUAUACACCUUUAUUCCGCUUCUAUAACUUGCAUUAUUAUUCAUGUUAUAUUUUGAAUGUAAUCUGUUGUUAUGACCUAUUGGGGUUAAUAAAUGUUUUAAAAACUUAAAA
Astyanax mexicanus (Mexican tetra) is the source of this 1740-nucleotide long non-coding RNA. RefSeq lists it as uncharacterized. Lineage: Eukaryota; Metazoa; Chordata; Actinopteri; Characiformes; Acestrorhamphidae. The transcript has 2 exons. The record is from RefSeq and is a predicted model, not a curated record.